Molecule: long non-coding RNA, 399 nt
Organism: Xiphophorus hellerii (green swordtail)
Lineage: Eukaryota; Metazoa; Chordata; Actinopteri; Cyprinodontiformes; Poeciliidae
Exons: 3
Source: RefSeq, a predicted model, not a curated record
AAACAUACCUUCUGACGCUUCUUAUCCGAAAAUUCAUGUCUGCUUUUUAUACUUUGUCUUUUAAUGAACAACUUUCUGGGAGACAAUCAGCUGUUAGCAAUAUUUAAAAAUGAAAAUGUUAAUAUAAUAAAAGAUGAGUCUUAUUUUGUAUUCUUUAAUUAAAUGUAAAGCAGCACAGCAGAGGGGGAUUGUACGGCAGAUAUUAAAAAAGCUUCCUCUGUACUUUAACUAUUUGAGUUUUUUAUGGCUUAUUCUGGUGUUCAGCGUGAUUUGACUGGGCCGCUGUGUCCUGAAACACUGGAUCUUUUCAGGUUGUUUCUCUGGUCCAGUGUGUUUUGUGGAUCUACAACCUCAUUAUAUGAGGUAUUUUAUGUUACAGGAAUAUAAAAGAUUAAUGUU